This 569-nucleotide ribosomal RNA is filed under the name Hyalinobatrachium vireovittatum (Starrett's glass frog). RNAcentral's name for it is "partial 16S ribosomal RNA". It matches the Rfam family "Bacterial large subunit ribosomal RNA", at positions 1832 to 2597 of the family's 2925-position model. The record is from RNAcentral. Lineage: Eukaryota; Metazoa; Chordata; Amphibia; Anura; Centrolenidae.
CGCCUCUUGAUUAAAUAUAAGAGGUCCAGCCUGCCCAGUGACCAUGUUCAACGGCCGCGGUAUCCUAACCGUGCGAAGGUAGCGUAAUCACUUGUUCUUUAAAUAAGGACUAGUAUGAACGGCACCACGAAGGUUAUACUGUCUCCUAUUUCUAAUCAGUGAAACUAAUCUCCCCGUGAAGAAGCGAGGAUAAGUAUAUAAGACGAGAAGACCCUAUGGAGCUUCAAACUAUCAAAGCACUUGCUAAAACACUAACAAAUUCCAGAAAAAUAUUCACACUCAAGCAAGAUUGACCUUUAGUUUUAGGUUGGGGUGACCACGGAGAAAAAAACAACCUCCAUAUUGAAAGGAACCCACUCCUUAGCCAAGAGCAACACCUCUACGCACCAAUAAAAAGACAUUAAUUGACCCAAUAUUUUGAUCAACGAACCAAGUUACCCUAGGGAUAACAGCGCAAUCCAUUUCAAGAGCCCCUAUCGACAAGUGGGUUUACGACCUCGAUGUUGGAUCAGGGUAUCCCGGUGGUGCAGCCGCUACCAAAGGUUCGUUUGUUCAACGAUUAAAACCCU